UGGCAAUGCGUUCACAAAACCAAUGCUGUGUACAAGGCUGUCUGAACCAAGGCAGUAAAGAAGAGAGUAUUUCAGAUCCAGGUUUAUUGACUCAGUGGCUUCCUGACAGGGCAGAAUGAGCGUAGAGCACAGGGUCUUGCAUUUCCACAGCUUCUGUGUUUCUGAAGGUUACAAGGAGGGUCCGCUUUAUAGACAUGGAAAAAUCUGCAGAAGAUUGAAAUGAACUGUGGCAUGAUCUUCUGAAAAGGAAACGUGACCAGGUAAAGUGAGGUUGCUUGCUAUGGGUAUGAUGUGUAUAUAUAGAUUUAGAUAACCAGAAUAAUCAAAAUAAGCCAGUAAGAGCUUUAUCAAGCACCAGCUCCUCUACUUCCAGCAGAAGGGGUCAUUAGCUCUCUCUAACAUUCCAGGGCCCCUCAUCUGCUUCAGGAUUUCUGUGGAAGGCAGCGAUUGGGCUUUAUUUUGCAAAUGACCUGAUGGGGAGACCUGGAAAUAAGCUGCUUUCAAAUCUGUGUUUUUCUUCCAGAAAUCUUAAGAACGUCAGCCAGACAGGUGAGAGAAGCCUGUCCUUUGUUUUCAGCUGAAUCUGGAAAUGCUUCCUGUAGUUAACCUGUAUAUAAAUGCAGUUUGACAUAGGACAAGAGACUUGGAAUACCUCUCUUCAUUGCUGGAGACUGUUGGGUUUUAACUGACAGGAGAGAAUAUCAACCAGCAUUUAGCAUUGUUAAAUCAAAAGACAACUGGAAUUUGUCACAAAUGUGAGUCCACUGGAAGUUCCAGAAUACAGCGUCUCCAUAGAACUAUUGUGAUUUACAAGUACCUGAGCUGGGCAUUACUGAACUUGAAAAAACAGAACAUUUGCUAAUUUGCCUACUACAUUUCACAGCAGUCAACUGCCAUGUUCUCCUCCAAAGUGUUUUGCUGCACCAAAUCAAAGGGCAAACCUGGAAGAGAAAGGAAGGCAUCAACCUGCUAGUGGAAAGCUAAGGAGAGAGAAAGACGGGACCUGUAGCAGGAAGAUCGUGCCUGGAGACCACCCGCUGUUUUCAGUGCCAUCCCUGCAAAGUUCAGCAGGUCAAACCGAACCCCAGCGGAAAGAGGGUAAGCACGUCGGUAACACUGCUCGCUUUCAUUGUCUCAGCUGCGCGACAUUAAAACCACAUUACAGUGAGCAUUACCAGCGAAAUUCAGCCGAGAGACUGCAAGAGCCCUGCACUUGCUCACGUCGCUGUAGCAGGCAGGGAAGUCACAAAGCCCCGCUCUGCGCCCGCCUCCGUCUCAGCAGCUCCGUGCGGGGCAGCGGGUGCUGGAUGCCCCGGGACAGGCACGGGACAAGCCCGGCACGGCACCGGGAGCCUCGCCCGGCCCCUUGGAGCAAGGCAAGGUAGGGGCAGGCUGCUCUUAGGGGCAGGCUGCUCGAGAACAAGGGGAGUGACAGCCCGAGGGGAGUUACCGGGCAUCCCCGGGAGCGUGGGACACAAAAACCUCGGAGAGCUUCGUGAAGACGCACGGAUGAGUGGCACCAUCCCCUCUGUACGAGGGGAGGGGAUGCUGGAGGUGGUCUUCAUGCCCUUAGGACCGCAAAGUUAAUUUUGCCUCUUUCCAGCUAUGCAGCCCCAGAAUAGGUGUUGCCAAGGCAUUGGCUCAAUCAUUUUAAAAAGAUGAUAGACUGGAAAAUCAGCCUGAGCUUGAGACCGACCCAAAUCAUGAGUUUCACAGAACUGCCUGAUUUUCAGCAGAAAAUGCAUGAUGGUUACUGUGCUGGCAGAACUGGUAAUUUCUGCAAGGAAAAGGAUCAGAGUGUUCAGCAGCAGCAUUGCAACACGGGACUGGGUGAAGCAGCUUGGCCUGGGGACAGCCAUAUUCAUGGAUGCGCCAGGACUGCCAGAAUAUGAUGGCCACAAAAACUGCAGAGGGAUACUGCAGCAGUUCAGCCCCUGAAAUCCAAGACCAUGUCUCUAGGCAAGUACUUGUUUUGACUAAUUAUUAUUAUUGCUGUUUUUCACAGUAGCAUUAUGACAGGCAUCUUCAGCUCCUAGGUAGACAUACACUUUUGAAAUUGAAGCAGAAGUACAAGUAAUAAGAAAAGUUCUAGAAGUGUGGUCUACAGGGUGUUAAUACUCCGUAUGAGGAAAACUGGGCAAACUCUAAAAAAAAAAAAAGCUGGACAGUACAGGCCCUUGGUCAGCUUACUUCUCAGGUCUCAGAUAUGGGCAACCUUAGAUUGUUCUUUUGUUCUGUAAAGAUCAAUGCAAACCUUUAUUUUCUAUAAAUAAUUUAAUAAAUACUUUUGUUUUACAAUGAUACAACAAAUGACAAAUUCAUAGCAAAUGAGUCACAAAGAAUUUAGGAUCAGUAUACUUUAAUAAGGUAUCAGUGUCAAAAUACAUUUCCUUAUCAAGUUAAAGUUCCCAUACAGUUAUAAUAUUGUCAAUAAGAAUUCAGCAAUAUAGAUUAUGAAAUAAUUAUGAUAAAAAGUAUGAUUAAUAUUAAGACAUGGAAUAUUUUUCAGAGUGUUUUAGUAAACUGUUAGGGUAUAACAUUUUUAAUGCUGAAACUACACAAAUAAGAAACAGAAAAGAGCAGUAUUCAAGUGUCUUUAAUCCUUGAAGCCUUUAAGUUCUUGCCACUGAAGGUUUGUCAAAUCUGGCUUGUCAAUUUCAUUACAUUUUGAUGCUUAAAAUAUGUUCUUUUUUUCCCACAUAGAAAUAAGAUCACUUUAGGAGUAGCUUAUUUUUGGUAAUAAACUCUUGAAAGAUCUAGCUGCAAUAGGGGCUAUCUUUUUUUUUUUUUUUUUUAAUGUUAUGUACCAAUAA
Long non-coding RNA from Anas platyrhynchos (mallard), 2813 nucleotides. RefSeq lists it as uncharacterized. The record is from RefSeq and is a predicted model, not a curated record. Lineage: Eukaryota; Metazoa; Chordata; Aves; Anseriformes; Anatidae.